CAACUCUUAGCGGUGGAUCACUCGGCUCGUGUGUCGAUGAAGAGGAAGCAGCUAUCUGCGAGAACUAAUGUGAAUUGCAGGACACAUUGAUCAUCGACACUUGAACGGACUUUGCGGUCCCAGGCUCCUCCCGUGGCCACGCCUGUCUGAGGGUCGGCU
RNAcentral lists this ribosomal RNA (159 nucleotides) under Tor mosal mahanadicus. Its description in RNAcentral is "5.8S ribosomal RNA". It matches the Rfam family "5.8S ribosomal RNA". From Rfam's summary of the family: 5.8S ribosomal RNA (5.8S rRNA) is a component of the large subunit of the eukaryotic ribosome. It is transcribed by RNA polymerase I as part of the 45S precursor that also contains 18S and 28S rRNA. Functionally, it is thought that 5.8S rRNA may be involved in ribosome translocation. The record is from RNAcentral. Lineage: Eukaryota; Metazoa; Chordata; Actinopteri; Cypriniformes; Cyprinidae.